UAGAGUUUGAUCCUGGCUCAGGACGAACGCUGGCGGCGUGCCUAAUACAUGCAAGUCGAGCGCGGAAAGCGAGCUGAUCCCUUCGGGGUGACGCUCGUGGAACGAGCGGCGGACGGGUGAGUAACACGUGGGCAACCUGCCUGUAAGAUCGGGAUAGCUCCGGGAAACCGGGGCUAAUACCGGGUAAUACUUUCUUUCGCAUGAAGGAAAGUUGAAAAAUGGCUUCUCGCUAUCACUUACAGAUGGGCCCGCGGCGCAUUAGCUAGUUGGUGAGGUAACGGCUCACCAAGGCGACGAUGCGUAGCCGACCUGAGAGGGUGAUCGGCCACACUGGGACUGAGACACGGCCCAGACUCCUACGGGAGGCAGCAGUAGGGAAUCUUCCGCAAUGGACGAAAGUCUGACGGAGCAACGCCGCGUGAACGAUGAAGGUCUUCGGAUCGUAAAGUUCUGUUGUUAGGGAAGAACAAGUACCGUGCGAAUAGAGCGGUACCUUGACGGUACCUAACGAGGAAGCCCCGGCUAACUACGUGCCAGCAGCCGCGGUAAUACGUAGGGGGCAAGCGUCGUCCGGAAUUAUUGGGCGUAAAGCGCGCGCAGGCGGUUCCUUAAGUCUGAUGUGAAAGCCCACGGCUCAACCGUGGAGGGUCAUUGGAAACUGGGGAACUUGAGGACAGAAGAGGAGAGUGAAAUUCCACGUGUAGCGG
This 707-nucleotide ribosomal RNA is filed under the name Halobacillus sp. SL3(2012). Its description in RNAcentral is "bacterial SSU rRNA". It matches the Rfam family "Bacterial small subunit ribosomal RNA", at positions 1 to 681 of the family's 1533-position model. The record is from RNAcentral. Lineage: Bacteria; Bacillati; Bacillota; Bacilli; Caryophanales; Bacillaceae.